CAGUGUUACAGUCCCUAAUGC
Molecule: non-coding RNA, 21 nt
Filed under: Caenorhabditis elegans
Lineage: Eukaryota; Metazoa; Nematoda; Chromadorea; Rhabditida; Rhabditidae
Source: RNAcentral